RNAcentral lists this ribosomal RNA (690 nucleotides) under uncultured bacterium. Its description in RNAcentral is "bacterial SSU rRNA". It matches the Rfam family "Bacterial small subunit ribosomal RNA", at positions 801 to 1500 of the family's 1533-position model. The record is from RNAcentral.
AGUAAACGAUGAAUGCUAAUUGUCCGUUGCGAGUGAGCGAUGGGUGAUACAGCGAAAGCGUUAAGCAUUCCACCUGGGGAGUACGCCGGCAACGGUGAAACUCAAAGGAAUUGACGGGGGCCCGCACAAGCGGAGGAACAUGUGGUUUAAUUCGAUGAUACGCGAGGAACCUUACCCGGGCUUGAAAGUUAGUGACGAUUCUGGAAACAGGAUUUCCCUUCGGGGCACGAAACUAGGUGCUGCAUGGUUGUCGUCAGCUCGUGCCGUGAGGUGUCGGGUUAAGUCCCAUAACGAGCGCAACCCCUACCGUUAGUUGCCAUCAGGUCAAGCCGGGCACUCUGGCGACACUGCCGCCGCAAGGUGUGAGGAAGGUGGGGAUGACGUCAAAUCAGCACGGCCCUUACGUCCGGGGCUACACACGUGUUACAAUGGGGCAUACAGAGAGUUGGUCAUGCGCAAGCAUGAUCGGAUCAUGAAAGUGUCCCUCAGUUCGGACUGGGGUCUGCAACCCGACCCCACGAAGCUGGAUUCGCUAGUAAUCGCGCAUCAGCCAUGGCGCGGUGAAUACGUUCCCGGGCCUUGUACACACCGCCCGUCAAGCCAUGGAAGCCGGGGGUGCCUGAAGUGCGUGACCGUAAGGAGCGCCCUAAGGUAAAACCGGUGACUGGGGCUAAGUCGUAACAAGGUAUC